RNAcentral lists this long non-coding RNA (901 nucleotides) under Rhinopithecus bieti (black snub-nosed monkey). RNAcentral's name for it is "lncRNA (ENSRBIG00000045209.1)". The record is from RNAcentral. Lineage: Eukaryota; Metazoa; Chordata; Mammalia; Primates; Cercopithecidae.
AUGUACCACCAUGCAAGGCUAAGUUGUUUUUUGUUUGUUUGUUUGUUUUUUUGUAUGGGGUCUCCUGUGUUGCCCAGGCUAGUCUCAAACUCAGGACUCAAGGGAUCCUCCCACCUCAGCCUCCAGAGUAGCUGGGACCACAGUGAUCGUGGUGGAGAAGACCCAAACCAGAAAGUAAUCCAUGGGGUUAUUAACUCCUUUGUUCAUGUUGAACAGUAUAAGAAAAAAUUCCCCUUAAAGGUAAACAGCCUCCUUUAAAAAUAUAAAUAAUCAGACUGUUAAUUUUUUAAACUGCUUGCUCUAAUUUCUUCUAAUAUGAUGUAAUUGAUUUAUCCAGUUUUAUCAGGAAAUCUUUGAGUCUCCCUUUCUGACUGAAACAGGAGAGUAUUAUAAACAAGAAGCUUCAAAUUUAUUGCAAGAAUCAAACUGCUCACAGUAUAUGGAAAAGGUAAGAAAUAAAACAUAUUAAAUAUGUUUAUCUAUUUUUGUAUCUGGCCUGGUUUUAUUUAACAUCGUUCUUAGUUUUGGGGGGGGGGUGGAAAAAGAUGGUUUAUUUAAUCAUUAACUCUGAGUUAUAGUUAUUAUACAAUAACGUUGUUAAGUCAUUGCUCUUGUUGUAACAUUUUCCUGAGAAAACAGUACCCUUCCAGUUUUCAUCAUAAUUGAUGCAUUUUGAUAAAUCCUAACUGCCUGGAUUAAUAUAUAUGCACAUUCUUGGCAGAAUAAUAAACUGGAUUUCAUGCUUAGUGGUUUGUUUAGAGAAUAGGAUAAGUGCAGAAGCUCUGUGUUGAGGUUUUUUUCUUCGUUUAAAAUGAGAGGAAAAAUAGGGAAAAUAUAGUCAUGUCUAGAAUGACAUUUGAAUAAGUCACUCUUUUGGUCUGUUAAGUUCUUGGAAAGCUGA